GUGCUCACUUCGGCAGAACAUAUACUAAAAUUGGAAUGAUACAGAGAUUAGCAUGGCCCCUGCACAAGGAUGAUGUGCAAAUUCUUGAAGCGUUCCAUAUUAAA
Molecule: small nuclear RNA, 104 nt
Organism: Suncus etruscus (white-toothed pygmy shrew)
Lineage: Eukaryota; Metazoa; Chordata; Mammalia; Eulipotyphla; Soricidae
Source: RefSeq, a predicted model, not a curated record